This is a long non-coding RNA of Epinephelus fuscoguttatus (brown-marbled grouper), 578 nucleotides long. RefSeq lists it as uncharacterized. The transcript is spliced from 3 exons. The record is from RefSeq and is a predicted model, not a curated record. Lineage: Eukaryota; Metazoa; Chordata; Actinopteri; Perciformes; Serranidae.
AUGUGUACGACCUUGUGUGUCCUGAUAAAAGGAGGCUUUCCCAUCAGUCUGACUCUCAGUCUCCUCUGGGACCAAGCUGGUGACACUGACCUGAUCUCUCUUCACCUGGUGAACCUGAACUCUGAGCUUCAGUUAUGGCUCGUCUGGAGCAGGCCAUUGCAACCAUUGUGGAUGUAUUUUCCGACUACGCUGACAAAUCUGGUAAUAUAAACAACGAGGAAAGAGGGAGGCUGUUUCAGAAAGAAAUUGAAAACCCUUUAUUCCUACAAAACAUCGCUGCAGCUCACAGUGACAAUAUGCCACGGGUGCUGGAUGCGAACGCUGAUGGACAGAUGAACUUCCAAGAGUUCACUGUGUGUGUCUGUAGGAUGCUCAGAUUCCACUACAAGAGGGUGGCACACGAGGGCCAAUGACACGGCUUCUAAGUUUGCAUGUAAAACUUUGAUGAAUGGCAUAUGUGGCACUGCCUACUGCUAAAUCCACUCUAGACUAAAAAUUGGUUUUCAAAGAAGUGUCCAUUCAAUACUUGUUUAGAGACAAAAAAAAUAAAUAAAUAAAAAUUGUGAUGUUUAAUUGGA